RNAcentral lists this ribosomal RNA (497 nucleotides) under uncultured bacterium. RNAcentral describes it as "partial 16S ribosomal RNA". It matches the Rfam family "Bacterial small subunit ribosomal RNA", at positions 28 to 507 of the family's 1533-position model. The record is from RNAcentral.
GAUGAACGCUGGCGGCGUGCCUAAUACAUGCAAGUAGAACGCUGAAGGAAGGAGCUUGCUCCUUCCGGAUGAGUUGCGAACGGGUGAGUAACGCGUAGGUAACCUGCCUGGUAGCGGGGGAUAACUAUUGGAAACGAUAGCUAAUACCGCAUAACAGUAGAUGUUGCAUGAUAUCUACUUAAAAGGUGCAAUUGCACCACUACCAGAUGGACCUGCGUUGUAUUAGCUAGUUGGUGAGGUAACGGCUCACCAAGGCGACGAUACAUAGCCGACCUGAGAGGGUGAUCGGCCACACUGGGACUGAGACACGGCCCAGACUCCUACGGGAGGCAGCAGUAGGGAAUCUUCGGCAAUGGACGGAAGUCUGACCGAGCAACGCCGCGUGAGUGAAGAAGGUUUUCGGAUCGUAAAGCUCUGUUGUAAGAGAAGAACGAGUGUGAGAGUGGAAAGUUCACACUGUGACGGUAUCUUACCAGAAAGGGACGGCUAACUACGUG